AAAAAGACUUAUGGCAUUUAAAGAAAAGAAAAAUAAGCUUAUGAAAAUUUAAAACAAAAUUAAGUACAAUAAAAAUAUAAAUAUAUAAAGCACAAGAGACAAAACCCACCUACUUUUCUUUCCAUCUUCUUCCCCACUCUCCCUCUCUCUUGCCGUCUCCCUUGCUCUCUCCCUCCCCACCAUUGUUAUCAAGCUUAAAGCUUGAUUUCCCAAGCUUUCACUCACCAAAACCCAUAGACCCCUUCACAAAAAAUUUAGCCCACACCAUAAGGAAGCUUUAGAUACCCAUAAGAAGAAGAAAGAUUAAAGUUUGAAGUGGGUCACAAGAGGUACUGGAGAUCAGCCGCAGCAGCCGCAGCAGCAGCACCAGUAGUACACUGACAGAGCUUUGAUCAGAUCUGCCAUUGUCCAGAGUCACCUCACCGGUCUGUUGUAUUUUGGUAGGGCCCAUGUAUAGACUAGUAUUUUGGUUCAUUAUGUUUAGUCAUGAUGUAAUUACUAGUUUAUGAUGUAUUUCAUUUUGGACUUGUAAUUAAACUUUGAGAUUGAAAUGAAAACUUGUAAUUUAUUAUCUA
Long non-coding RNA from Hevea brasiliensis (rubber tree), 575 nucleotides. RefSeq lists it as uncharacterized. The record is from RefSeq and is a predicted model, not a curated record. Lineage: Eukaryota; Viridiplantae; Streptophyta; Magnoliopsida; Malpighiales; Euphorbiaceae. The transcript is spliced from 2 exons.